Molecule: RNA transcript, 16903 nt
Organism: Neopelma chrysocephalum (saffron-crested tyrant-manakin)
Lineage: Eukaryota; Metazoa; Chordata; Aves; Passeriformes; Pipridae
Gene: CTCFL
Gene name: CCCTC-binding factor like
Exons: 17
Source: RefSeq, a predicted model, not a curated record
CCACGAUGAUUUCCAUCUGUCUUUGCUUUGCUAUGCUCCCGUCUUCCCUUUGCUUUGGGCAAUAAGGAAACCAGUAAACUGCAUGUUCUGAGGUUCCUGGCUCUGAGGUCUGAGUAGCUUUUAUAUGAUUGUAGAGAUGGGGAGCAGAGAAUUGUGGUUUUUGGGGCAAACAAGAAAUCCAAGUCAGACCUGAAUCCUAAAUGAUGUCUUCUAGAAUAAGCUGCAGCUCCCAUCUCAGAAUCAGAGGAUAUUUGGUGGUCUCUGAAGAAAUGCUUCAUCUCUGUGAAAGUGGGACACUAAAGGCACAAGUUGACAACAGCAUCAGAAAAUAUCUCAACCAUUUGGUGACUACAGCUACAGUGUUUAAAGGAGCCAGAUGAAUUAGAAGAUGAUAAAAGUAAACUCGCUUUCCCUGAAACAGGUUCGCUCAGCACCGUGCGAGGCCUUAGGGCUGCGGGGAAACCACGGCCGGCAGCAGAGAAGAGCGUGGCGGGGCCGCGCAAAGCCGAGCGGAGGAGCGCAGCGGUGGCAGUGACUCGAGUGCGGGCGGGGGCUCCUGUCCCCCAGAGCGGUCCCUGUCUCCUGAGGAGGGUGACAAACACGGGCCCUGCUCACAGAGUGUGUGAGGGCAGAGGAGGAGGAGGAGGGAGCCCGGCAGGCCCCUGCCCAUGGCAGCGCUGGCCGGGGCAGUGGUGCUGCCGGGGCAGGGACAGGCCGUGGCACACAGCGUGUCCCAGGGCAUGGCUCUCACCCUGCGGGAAGGGAUCUGCGUGUUCUAUGACCUAGAGCUGGCACAGGUUCAUGUUCUGCAAGAAGAAGGGCAAGAAAAGAGUUCAGAAAGCAAGGCAACUGAGAAACCACCAGACAUGCUCCGGAUGGAGAUUGACAGAGAUAAUGAUGCCAUUGCAUUUGAAAAUAACAUCCAGCAGCUGAGCCCAUCUGAAGAGGGGGAAGGAAAGAAACUUUUUUCCACAGUUGGGGGAAAAAAGAGCCAAAGCUGCAAAGCCAGUGAAAAUUUGUCGGAGUUGUGUAAUGGAAGUAAAGAGCAGGAAUAUGCAACUGCAUCAGAACAAACAGUUGUAAAAAAUUCCAAGAAUCUAAAAUUUCAGGCUUGUGCACCACGUCAGAAAAAAGGAGAAAAAGAAGGUUUCAGCUGUUGUUUCUGCACAUUCACCUCAGCCAGAUUGUCAAAUCUGAAGCGUCACUUGAAAACCCAUUCUGAUGAGAAACGUUACUUGUGUCACCUCUGCCCGAAGGCUUUUCGUACAGCAACUCUCCUGCACAACCAUGUGAACACACAUACAGGGACCAAACCCUAUAAAUGCAGUGAGUGUGAUACAGCAUUUGUGACCAGGGGUGAGCUUUCCCGACACAGGCGGUACAAACACACCUUAGAAAAACCUUUCAAGUGCACAAUAUGUGAAUACUCCAGUGUAGAAGCCAGCAAAAUGAGACGACACAUUCGUUCCCACACAGGAGAGCGUCCCUAUCCCUGUGACCUUUGCAGUUAUGCCAGCAAAGAUGCCUAUAAACUGAAAAGGCACAUGUUAACUCAUACAGGGGAGAAACGCUAUGAAUGUUGUGUUUGCCGGGCCAGAUUCACUCAAAGUGGUACCAUGAAAAUCCAUAUGUUACAGAAGCACGGAGAAAAUGUCCCAAAACACCAGUGUCCACAUUGCAGUACCCUUAUUUCCCGAAAAAGUGAUUUGGGUGUCCACUUGCGAAAUCUUCACUCCUACAUGGAGGAGGCCAUUAAGUGCAGUGCCUGUGAGGCAGUUUUUCACGAACGCUACGCUUUCCUUCAGCACAAGAAGACUCACAGAGGAGGAAAAGGAUUCAAAUGUGCUCAGUGCAGCUACACGUGUAAUCAGAAAAAUAUGCAUAAGCAUGCUGAAAAUUGUGGACUGGGGAGGGCAGAAACUGCUGCACCCAGAAAAAGAAGCAAGGAGAAAAAUAAAAUCCAUGAGAACCCCAGGCGUGUUAAGUCAGAAGUGCCUAAGGAAUGCAGGAGUGUGUGGAGGUGCUGCCGGCUCCAUCCUGCCAGGAGAACAGCCCGGGAGGGACCUGCUGUUCCUGCCGGGCUCCCCUCGCCUGGCAGAUGCAGGCUGGCUGCAGGAGGUCACUGUGGGCAGCCAGGCUGCCCUAAUGUGGGGUUUUCUCCUCCUCAGGAGCAGCUGAUUGAGUCGAAACAAUACUCUGCUUUCCCCAUUUGAUGAUGAAGACUGACAGUUUGUAGGAGAUGAGUCAAAGGUCACUGAUGAGAAGAUCCAUCCAGAUAAUUGCUGUAAUUGCACCCUGAGGAUGCAGCUCCCGUCACAAAGCAUCAGGCAGUGACUCUGUUGCAGAGGUCCAAGGGAUUGGAAGCAAAGUGUUUGUUUUUGAAAGAAGUUACAGUGUUCGUUUUCUGUCAAAACUACAUAAAGGAUUGUGAUUCCCCAGCCAUUAGUGAGGAGAAAUCUUGACAAAAUAAAUAAAAAACCAACUUAGAAUGUGUUUCAUCUUUUGGAUGCUGAGGAUUACUUUCUGACACUUGAGUUUUCUAACUGUAAGCAGGUUUAGAAGCAAAAAAGAAUGCUGGAAGAAUGAAGUGUGGUGAAAGCAACAGCAUCACAAGUUUGGAAGGUGACGCUGUUUUCUGGAUAGCUCUGCUGAGAGGAGAUGUUCAGAUUAAAGUGCAAGAUGGAGAUGAUGAAGAUUCUGUGACAACAGUCGGGGACAAGGAUGAGAGUCCUCUUGAAACUCUUCCUUUGGAGGUCCCUGUAAGUUAUGUCAGAGGCCAGUGAGACCUAUUUGCUCACAUUUCUCUGCAAUAUCAGUAAUUUGCAGUAACAUCCCAAAUGUGAAAAGUGUUUUUAAUUGGUCUUCUGUAAAAGAAAUUGACUUUGGGGAGACUAGUAAGGUGUCUUUAUAUAUCCCUUACUUCUUCUGCCCGGAAUGAAGUUUACCAUUAAAUUCCCUGAAAGGUUGCUGUUUUAGGAUUGCAUAAAAAGUGGAGAGCUGGGCAGAGGUUAAAGGAUCAAUCCUGCAAACUGUUGAAAUGCAACUGAUUCUACUUAUGAGAGCUUCAGUGGGAAAAAUUCCCACUGUGAUUUGACUGUGGUCUGAUUCUCAUUUGCACUGACUCUCCUAUAUCCUGCUAGUAAUGGGUAAGAUUCAAUCUUGAGGGAGGAUGUCCAUAUAAGAAAUGGUUUUUGGGUAUGUGGAAACAAGACAGACUCCAUUAAGGCAUUCUCUUACCUUCAUCUAAAUCUGAAAAUAAUCAUAAAUUGGUGAUGGUACCUUAAUUACCUUGAAUAAUUAUUCAUAUAGUUUGUGUGUGUGUAUUUGUGUGGGGAAGAAGUCUUGUGAAAAUGAAGUUAAUUCAGUGUCUCAGAUAAAGAAGGAUAUUUGUUAGAAAUUGUUGUCAUAAUAGUUACACAACAGGAUUCAAAUAUUCUUUAACUUAGUAUGAAUAAAAUAUUAAAAGAUACAGGUGUUGUUCAUGAAACAUCAAAGAGUUUUCCACUGCCACUGUGUUUUAUUAAAAUGAAAAGAAGAAGAGAAAAGAAAAAAACCAAAGCCCUGUGCUAAUCCUUUCCUUUGUUGCUUAAGGGACGUUUCAGUAUAAAGUAGCAAUUUCCAUAUCAUUUGAAUAGCAGUUGCAACCCAUUGAUGUUUAAAGUAAAAUGUGCAACUACUGUAAUCAGCAAAACAGAUGCAAAUGUGUUGUCUGUCUCCCAAGUGUAGCUCCCUGCUUGCUGUCUCCGUUAGAUUUGGAGUGGAAAACAUGAUCAGAUAAUGAAAAACAUGGAAGCUAUUCUUUUAUCUCUUUCAUAGCAGUGGUUUGUUCAAAAGCAAGUUGGCUGGAUGCAGCACUGAGUGAGAGUCCUGCAGCAGCACCCCCAGCCCGCUGCUCCGGAGCUGCAGGAGAUGCCGCGGUGCUUUGGAGGUGGGAAAGGGACCCCCCACCCUCUUCACUAACCCUGCCCCUGGGGGCAGAAAUGGCCUUUUGGCUCUGUUUAAGCCCAGUGGCAUCCCAGUGUAAGUCUCUACACAUUUUUGUAAGUAAGCAAUAACAAAAAUAAAAUGACAUUUAGCAUUUAGAUCCCAGACCGGUGGUUUUGGUUGUGCCGGGUACAGUGUAGCAGGCUAGAUAAAACCCUGCUGAGCUCCCUGAGUCCUGCCAUCCCAGGCUUUAGGUGGCUGGAACUGUUCCUCAGAGGGCUUUUAAACUCUAAAAAUAACCUGUAAUGGUAUGAGGAAAGAGUUUACUUUAUCCUUCACAUUUCCAAAUUUAACAAUGAACACAUGUCGAUGGUGCCUUUCUGUGCUUGGUGUAUCUGAGCUGCUGGCACAAGAACUAGAGCCAGCAAGGGAUUUCCAUCAGAAUGACUUCUGAGUGAAGCUGCCCUUCUUGGAAAAGGGAAACCUUCUCAGCAAAAGGCUUGAUGAAGCCUCCCAAACAGGUUGUUGAUGUGAUGAGAAACCUGUUUUGCUUCCUUGAGAGCACUUUCCUGGAAAAAGACUCAUUUGUGAUUUUUUUUUUAAAUUAGUAUUUUUCCUAAUCAGGAGACAUCUUACGGAAAAGGAUUUCCAUCUUGUGGUCAGCUGUGGUAAUAAAACACUCCUGCUGGACUUUUUUUUUACAGCAAAACAAAAUGGUUUUAAAAAAAAAAUAAUGGAAAUCUCCUGUAGUUCCUUGUGAAGGUAAAUGCUGGAGACCUCACAAAGUCUGUUUGCAUUUGCACAGAAGGUAAAACUGUUUUAGGAUUAGCCCCCUUCAGAAGGUCAUCUUUGGAACUAAAAAGUAUUAGAAAAGGUAUAAUGCAAGCUAUUCAUGACAGAAUAUUCAAUUUUGACAGAUUAUGCAGCAUGUGUGCCUCAGGAGCCACACACAGGAGCCCAGACAGAAUUACUUGUAACCUUAGUGGAUGAGAGGCAAUUACUCCUGAACUCCUGGGAAAACUUCUAUCCAGAGCCAAAUAUUGUUGCUUGGAUUGUUUGCUAUUCCAGGAUGACUCUUAGGCUCAGUACAACGUCAUCAUAACUUCAUGCAGAUAUUUGUUGUUCAGGACAAGUUUUGAAACCCAUGCUCUAAUCUCGAAAUAGUAAAAUGCUGCAGGGUUAAGUGGUGGAGUUCACUGGAAAAUCUGCCCACUUCAGUGGGAAAGAUUUUUUAAUAUAUUAAAAACAAAACAGAUUUGGAAAGGUCAUUUUAAAUACUAAGAACUGUGACUGAAGGGCAGGGCUGUGUGCUGCAGAAGUUUUGGCAUUCAGGAUCUUGUGUAGGUGCUCUGUAAAUGACCCCUCUUGUACAAACCCACAAGGACAGGUGGGGCUGUUAAAAGGAAUAAUUAAAUUCUUGUAUUUAAUUAUCUUUCUUGUCCAGUUGUGCACUGAGAUGCCCCCACUGAUUGCACUGAUUCUGACUUCAGCAAGAGCUGGACCAGCCCUGAAUAUUUAUAAGGAGAGUUAAAUAAGAUCUCAGAUCAAAUUCUUAGAGAUACAUGUAAGAACUUUGUGAGUCUUUUUUAUUUUGGGGGCUUGUAACUAAAGGAGAUGUUCAGUGUGUUCCUUAGUGGGUGCCAAAAAGCUUAUUUUCAGAAGUGUCUGAAUCUCAAGGAAAGUCAAUGACUGCUAUAUUUAAUCUGAAGUCUAUGCAACUGCUGUUGAAAUCAAGCUAUGUGCUUUUUGUAAUAAUAAUACGAAAAAAUAGAGCAUUUAUAUGAAAAGUCAGGAACCAUGCAUAUAACUUACAUGCCAGGGUAAUGUAGAUUUCAAAAAAACAGUUCAACAACGUGUCUGAAGUUGUGCUGCAAAUAUUACUUUAAGGAAAGUAGAAAUUAAGAAAAUAUUUGUGAACUCUUUGCAGUAUUUGGUAAAUAGUUUCCAGAAAAAAACUGACAUCUGAAGUUUGUACACAGGCCUUGUUCUGUUGGUAACUACAGGCAGUGGGAGUUUUUGCCAUGGUCUCUACUGAAACGGGAUCCAAUUCUUUUUUUUUUUCUUCUUAUGUGGAGAUAUAAAUCUUAGACCUUAAUUACACUUAAGAAGGAAAAUACUUUGUCUUUUUAUGUUAAAAAAAAAGUCAUCUAACUAUUAUAAAGCAUUAAAAAUUACUUGAGAAAAGGCUUCCUUAUAUCAAACAAAUCUCUCAUUUUGCUUUUAGGCCUUCCUGGAGGGUGCUGUGUUUAUACUAUUUACUUUAAGUGUGAGAACUUUAUGUCAGAUCAAACCAUUAGCAACUCUUCGGGCAGCAAAUGGCAAAACACAGCUCGGGGACCCUCUGGAGAAAUGCAGUUUCCACACUUCCACAUUUCACCACAGGGUGCAAGUGGUGAGGAGAAAUCAGGGAGGAGAGAGGCAGAUAACUCAGCACCGAGGGGAGCAGCUGAGCCCUCCCAGGGUGGCUGUUGGGCAGCCCUGGGAAUGCUGUGCUGGGCUCCUGGAGCAUCCUUGGCCACCCCAGAAACGAUGUGUGAUGCACCCAGCAGAAUUCUGGCUCAGUCUCCAGGGUCUCCUUCCAAGUUUGGACUAUUCUGUGAAUUGCAAUAUGUACAUGGAUGGGCAUUUCUUCUUGCAAAGUUUUGGGAGCUCAGGCAUUGUCCCUUGCCAGUGAUAAAGCCGGAUUGAAGGGCUUUGAGCUUGCUGGUGAAGAUGCUGGUUGAGAGAUGAACAACUUCUUUCUUAAAUUUACUGGAUUGUUUCCUUUCUCUGGACUACUGACUAAUUACAUCCUUUGAAAAAUGUUUCAUUUAUCUAGUUCUUUGGGCCCAGUGCACUGUGUGUCAGUGAAGAAGUGUUUUAUUUGUAUUAAAUUGCACUGGCAAACAUCCCUUUUCUAGUGUGGAGCUGAGGUUUGUGCACACGCUUGUGUUUUCAUUUCAUAUAUAAGCUCUCGUGUCAUCCUGACAAGGGUGGGUGGGCACCAUCCUCCCUGCUUCUGCUGUUUCUAGCCUUGGAAUAGACUAUUUUGUGCAAGUUUUGGUUCCCACAUCCUCAGCUCUUCAAACUGUGAGGCAGAAAGUAAGUAUGAGUGUUUUGGAGAGAGCUGGCUGACCAAAUGGCCCGUUGUUUUUUUCCUUUUAUUGCCAGUUGCUAAGAAAUGUGUGAAGGAAGCUGUCAAGCACAUUUUAUGGGAUUACUUUCCAUAUAAAUGGCUGCCAGGAUCACCGAAGUGUGGCCUCAGAGGAGAGAGGUAGCAGCUCCCAAGGUCAGGAACAGCAGGGAGGUGUCCUGAGCAGGGACUGGCAGUGACUUUCAAAUAGACAGGAAGACACUCCUGAUGUGGCUCCCCUGGGCAUGGUCUGUGCCAGGACACAUCAUGGAGAGUUUUUCUUGCCUUAGAAGGGGCUGUUCUGGCUGCUCUGUUUGGUUCUCCUUGGAAGUGGGAAGUCCCAUGUUUUGCAAUGCCAGCACACAGUGGAAAUGAGGAGUCUGGAUAAGGGAUGGAGUUCACGGUGCCUGAGAGCAGAGCUUUCAUCCAUCUGAAACUUUGGUAGUUUCUAUGUCCAAAAUAUUGUGAUUUUUUUCCCAUUGAUUCUCAUUCUUCUGCAGUCCCUUAUCCAUGGGCAAGCACUGUGGCACCAGGCUGCAGCUUUCCACAGCAGCAUCACUAGUUUAUUAGCUUGUGGCCUUAGGCAAACCUGAAAUCAUUAACAGCCCAUUUGUUGGGCUAAUGACUCUUUUUUACUAGAUGUAUAAUUUAAUAUAUGGUUACUUUCGUGCCUAAUUAUGCUCUUCAAAGCUUCUUUUGAAGGAAUUUAUUUUUCUGCAUGUGUGUAUUGAGAGGGUUGGGAGCUGGCUGGCUUUUCUUGCAUGCUGCCCUGUAUUAAAAUCUAGAUAGUUUAUGUAAGAAGAUUUUAAUUUAGAUAUGGGAAUUUCCCCCAUUGCUCAUUCUUUCAAUAUUUUUAUCUUUGAGUGCUUGAAAAAUAAAUAGUGGUGAAUUACCAACAGGUUUUAAAUGGCAUCAUUUCAUGUCCUAUUGUAGCUUGGUACAUUGUUUUGGACAAGACGUAAACCCAAAGUCCUGAUCAAUAGGGCCAUUGUGGCAGCAGCUUCCAAAUGAAUGUGAGCCUUGAUCUCAGUGUCCUGGCCGUGUUCCAGCCUGGUUCACAUUUUACUCAACGGCAAGUCCCACUUCUGUUCCCGUUAACCUCAGUGGGAACAGAGGCAGACCACUGUAAAGUGCUGCUAAUCCCACGUGCCAUUUGCAUGCAGCGCUUGUAAAGCAUUCUGGGAUCAGUUUGGAAAAAAAAAGGCUAUGCAUGUAAGAUGUUUUUCAUUGGCAUCCCAAAUCCAGUGCCAUAUCAGUGAAAGCAGGUUAUGACUUUGUCCAUCGGGAUAAUUUUUUUUAUUUUUUUUUUUUUGAGCUAGGCAGCUGAUUGGGAAGGAUAAUAAAGAUGAAUUUGAUUUUCUUUCUGUGAGCUCUAGUGUCCCCUUCAUGGAGAUUAAAAAUUUCCCGGUGCUGUUUUCAGCUCCACAGAGCAAGCAAAAGCUAAUCUCCUGCUUGGAUUUCCUCACACCAUUGCGAUCCACUAAUAGGAUCGCCAUACAGUUUUGACUUAACAGGCACUGGGAGAGGAUAAUCCUGUUUAUUCGGUCAUCCAAAACACUGAUGAUCUGAGAUAAUCAGUGGGCUGAGAGCAGGGGAGGAGGAGGAGGUUUGCUUUGCUGUGUGGUUUGUCUGGUCAGACGCUUCGUGCCAGGGAAUGGCUCAAUCUCAUUACUGCAGCCAGAGCAUGGGAGGGUACCAAAAACCUCCUCCCAACACCAGCCCUGGAGAGCCAGCCUGAUAAAACAACAGCCUUAGCAGUGUCUGGCCCAGAUGUUUUGCUCAACAGUUUUAAAUUGUUUUUUCUGUGACUGAUUUAAUAUAGAAAUACUCAGACAAGUGUCCCAGCGGCCACGUGAGGCACUUUGUACAAAACACUUUGGCUACCAGGUGGCAGAGGCUGGGAGUCAAUGGAUCAGCUCCCAGUACUCACUCACAUUUGGAACCUUACACAAAGCCAGUCCUUGGAUCCAAGCUUGCUAAAAGUAAAACCAGUUCCAUAUUUGCCAGACAUGAGACACUGCUUUGAAUAUUUGUGAGUGGCCACUGGAUCUCUGGGAAUGUAGGAGCACGUGCUGCAAAGCCCUUUCCAAGAAAUAUAAUCUGUAAGAAACUUUCCCCAGUGAUUUAGAGAUAUGCCUUGAAACUGGGCUGUACAGAAUCUGUUGAGAGGGCAUGUUAGUGAGCUUUCUAAUUACUUUCUUUUUUUUUGCUCUUGUAAUCACUAAAACUUUCACACUUGGUAUUAUAUCCCAUUAGGUUAUUGCCUCAGGUUUCUGUGAAAGGCCCCAUCUCCAAUUUGAUCUCAGUCAAAGUGCAUUUUGUAGAUAGACUGACUUUGAAGCCUCAUUUUAUGAUCUCUGAGCUGUCAUAGUCCAGAUGACAGGUUUAUAGUUUGGAAAGCCAGUAGCAAUAGCUGAGCUCACUAGUCUUUAUAAGUAAUGCUCUGUCACUAGGUGCAGCUCCUCACCAUGGUGACACUGCAAAUAUUGAACACAAAAUGAUUCAUGGGACCCAAUACAGUGCUUACUUUAAUUAAUAUUUUACAAGAUAACUAGCUUUGUUUAACUUUCCAAAUAGGAGUGGAGCGGGGAGAUCCAGAGGACAGAAUGUUGCUAUGUAAAAUUUAUGGGCACUCGUAUUUGUGUGCUUGUUUUUAAAAUUAAAUUAAGAAAAUAUUAUUUGUUUUCUUCUCUCUCUGCUGGGUCCUGCAAGGGUCUGGGGGAUUUUCUGUGUGUCAGUGUUAAAUGAUGAGCUCUGAAAAGCAAUGUUCUUGCUCUCCUGCCUUCCUCCCUCCCUCCCUUUGUAUUCCCAUGCAGUCAGUGUUGCAGGGCUGUGUCCUUCCUGCGAGUGCUUUGGGAUACUGUGUGCAGAGAGCACAGUGCUGGACAUGCACAGCAUCACUGACUCUGCUCUAGGUGACCACUGGUGCAUCCUGACCAUCAGACCCCUCAGACCUGAGGUUUAGCCAUGUUUCCCUGAAGAAAUUACAUAUUUUGGUAGAAGAAGUAACCACGAGGCAGGAGUUGAAAGCUGAAGCUGUGCAACACAAGCCUGGCCCAGUCUGAUGUCAGGGGACAACCUUUGAUGUUUGCAAUGACAUAUGAGCCAUCACUGCUGUUCCUUUUCCUUGCAAUGGCACCAUGACACAAACCCUGCUGGACCAGGCACUGCACCAGUGCAGAGCAAAAAGCUGUCCCUACCCCAAAGAGGUCUCAGACUCACAAGGUAAUUACUUAUCUUUGUCCAUUAAUUUCCCUUUUUCUUUUUUUUUUUUUAAGUACCCAGAUAAUAUUCUUUCUCUCCCAGACUCAAAGUACAGUGACAAAUAAACGAUUUCAAGUAUCCUCCUGAGAUAGGGAGAACUGAGAUAGAUGUUGCCAGCAGGCACUGAUCCACCUGUGGUGGUGGAAGGUUGGGGGAUUCAUGGGGGAAUGACAGAUCUGGAAAGUUACAGCGUGGCUUUUCUAAAAUGACACAGCCAAAGAUAUUCUAGAGAUUAUCCUCCAAAAACUCGGUGGUCAAGGGCUUAAUUACUUAAAUAGCGGUCAAAUGUCUGCUUGUUAUCAAUCACCUAUUGCCAGUUGAACUGCAUUAAUGAGGGUUUCUUGAUAAAAGCUGCCUUAUCAUCCGGAACUGAGAUACCCAGCCUAAUGUGCUCCAGCAAGGCUUGAGGAAAUGCUCCUCUUAGCAGCAAAGGAGACGAUUUGUCGCUUUCCUGAAUUAGCCUGAGUCAAAUGGAUGGUCAGACCCUCCAGAAAGGAGCAAUUUCUUUCACUGCUUGUGUUAAAGGAGUGCUUUAUCCAUGUGUCAGAAAGCAUUCUGGCUGUCUUGCAAGAGUUUAGAGUCCAACCAAACACACCUUGGUGGCCAUUUGCAGUGGCCAGGGUUGAAGGUCACAGGGCAGGGUCACUGCACCCUGAGGGGAUAGCACUGGGUUUCACUGUACAUCCUACCGCCAUAACCACUUACCUCCUUGGAAAAAAUGGGUUGGAAAUGGUAUUUAACAUUGUUGAUGACAAUUUUUCCAGAUUUAUUACCUGUUUUUUGUUCCCUGUUUGGCUGCCUGCUCCCCUUCCAUCUGCCAGCCCUGUAAUCCACCUCCUCUUAUCUCAGCACAGUUCGCUCCACCUCUUGCUCAUUUUUGUUUUAUUGCCCAGCUAAUCUCAUUCUCCUGCUUUUCCUGACACUGCUCCCCUCUCCCCAUCUGUGGAGAUUAAAUCACUUUUCCUUUUGUUUGAUGCCGCUCAACAUUCCCCUAUUUCACUCAGGCUUUGGGAUACUUCCAGGCACUUUUGCUGUUGUUGCACACAUCCAUUUUCCUGGCACAAAAAGGCCAAUCAGCAUCUGAUGGAAGCGUUACCGAGUCCUCGUUUCAACCAGUUCUCAGAGAUGUCCUGAAUGUGAAAUGGAGCUGAGCCCAGCCUGCACAGUGCAGCAGAGGCAGGUGUGUGUGUCAGGAACUCCAGGAGCAUCCACAGGGUGCUCAGGGCAGCUCUAGAGUGGUGACAGAACCUGGCAUCUGAAUAUUAGCCAAGAAAACCCGAGAUCAAAGGCAUGGGGUGAAAAAUCUCCAAGCAACCAAAAUGUGAAGUUUUGGAAGUGGUUUUCCGUAUUGCUGGUGAUGUAUCAGUGUAGUUAACCAUCAUCCCUAUUUAAAUCUAGUGGCUUGUCAGUGUUCAUGGCCCCAGCAGUGUCAUUCUAGUUACUGCUGAGAGUUGCUGGGGGUUUUAGGCUCAAGGUUGAAGCCAGUCUCCCUGUUCAAGGGUGUUAAGUGCAUCCUGGUUUGGGGCACAACUGCAGCUAUAGGGGGGGACAGUGGAUUUUCAUGCUGUGUGUUUCUGGCACCCUUCCACCUUCCUGCACAGAGAACAGUGCUGGAGACUCCCCUACCAGUAUUUCCUCCUCCUGUGUGACUGUGCAAGUCCACUGACUGCACUGCUGCUCGUGUUGGCUCAGAACCGGAACCAGCAGAGCCUUUAACCCCCUGGCAAACCCUGGACAAUUUCAAAAUCCCUUGCAGGGACCACAUGCACUGCCAGGACUCCUCACAGCUGGCAGUCGCUGUUCCUUCUCGCUGUGAGCACCCCAAUGUGUUUGCUACCAGAACAAACCCUAAAGUCUUCAAAUAACCCCCCUUUGAGUACAUGGGAGAUGCUUCCCUUAGCAAGGACAGCUGCUGUUUGGCCCUAAUCAUUGAGUUUAGAUGUUUAUUUUUAUUCUGUUUGGGUUGUAUCUCUUGCCUUAAUCUCCACUUGCAAUGCUAACCAUGAUGCAUUUGCUAUAUGUCCCCUCACUACUUUUAUCUACCAACAUGUUUUAAAUAGGUUUAAAGAGUACAGGAGCUAAAAAAAAAAAAAUCAGGCAGCUUCAGAUGAAAGCCAGCAGCAGGCCUUUAAAAAUAGAGUGGCAGCCCUGCACGAGGUGCCGAGUAAGUGGGUGCACGGGAGGGGAGCGGAGUGGCUGCAGAGGCUCUGUUUAAACAGGAGGUAAAUAAGUGGCUGGGGGAGCUGCAGUUCAUCUUGUUCCCUUACGUGUUGCCCAGAUAAUGCAACAUAUCUUGAGGCAGGCUGGUUCUAAAAAUGGACACAGCUCUUGGGUUUCACUGGGUGACGCUCAGGCUGCGCUGUCCUGCAGUCUGCGGUGAAGCGUCCGUGGGAGCAGUGAAAUGGCAUUUAGUGUUUCAAAAGUAGCAGCAGUGCUCAGGUCUCGUCACUGGUACUUUAUGAAGACUUCUAUAAUGAGGAAUGUGUGACUUUAUACCAUGGUGCCUAAUGCAGAAGCAGCUGCCUGUAAAUCCCUGGGGUCAGGCAAUGUUUUGUUAAAAUUCCCCUUCCUGCUGUGGUUGACCUGUGAAAACAGCAAUCAUCUGACAGUGACAGCAGCACUUAAUUAGUAAUUCAGGAUUAAAGUGUUCUGUCCAAUGAGUAAUUUCACAGAAGCAGAGUUUAGAACUGGAGCAGGUUUAAUAUAACAAAACUAUUGUCAUGAAAGCCUCCUUGGCAUUUUAAUGGUGUUUUUCUUUGAUCUAAAUAUACACGAGAAGUUGAGAGGAUGUUUAAAUCCGAGCAGGGGAUAAAAGGGACCAAGAGAAAGACUCAAAAGUCUUGUCCAAACUCCACACAGUUGUGUGAGCCACUGGCUUCCCUAGGACAGGGCAUCAUCCCAGGGAGCUGCACUAUUCACCAUUCCUCUCACUGCUCCAGGAGUGUUCCUGUCUUUAUCUUCCUUCUCACCCUCCUCUCUUUUGCGUAGUUGAGCACAGCUCAGCUGUGCAGAGGAUGAGUAUUUGUUAACCUCCAGUGGCUGCAGUAAUGGUCAACUGGCCCUUCCGUGCUCCCAAAGAGACUGUGUUUGGGUUGGGCAUAUGCUGCUCACUGACAUGGAGAAUUCUCCAUUUCUUUCUAAAUGAGUCUUCUCAGGCUGUCCCUGUUCAGCAAAUUCAGGAGAGAAAGGGCAGCAGGGCCCCUUGACCAAACCAUGUUCUGUAGAAGGUAGCAGAGAGUGCAGCCUUCCCUGUGGGAAUAAAGUGAUCCUCUGUUGAGUGAAGUGUUGCCUACAAGGUUAAUUAGCUGUAGAAAAUGAGCUCGAAUACUUAGGAGUAAUGAAUCAUAAUGAAUCGUUAUGUUUGAGGAGUGACAAAUUCAUGCAUAUUUUGGACUACUUGUUUUAGUCAGAAUGGAAAAUAGUGCAAUGCUUUUUUCUGUUGUUCUGCCUUCAUGCUGAGAUGUCAGGAAGCAAAUCAACAUGGCCAGAGUUUGUAAAGUCUGGCAAUGCUUGAUUGCACAAUAUUUAAUCUCUCUCCUGAGUCUUUGAGCUGGGCUAGGAGCAGGAGCUCCUCUGGAAUCAAUACAUUUGCCUCCACCUUCAGUAGAUGGGAUUUUGACCUGAAAAAACACAAAACUUCUCCUAAGCUAAAAGAGAAAAAAAAAAAAGUUGUGUUGUCCUAAUCCUGUGAGUGGUAGUGUCCUGUGGCAGCUCUGAUUGAGGCGUAGCACCCUCAUCUAGGAAAGCAGAUUGAAUUAUAGCUCCACCUCCCAUACCAAGGUGAGUCAAGGGACCUAUUUGUGGCAAGAUUCAUCAGAUCCUUCAGCUCCUGCUGUUCCCAGAAGAAUCUCUGGAGUUUUUCUAUGGAAUUAGAUCCAGCAACAUAACAAGCUAAGGGGCAGACAGACAUUGUAACCCUUGAAAUACCUGGAAAGUAAGGAUAAGCAAGCUACUCCUACCUGGAAGAUAACUUCUGGAAUCUCAAUGUAAGAUGAAGGACAUUGUGAAAAAGAGGGUCUUGAUAAGAGGAAUUUGUUCUUAGCCCCUUUCAAGAAUCAUAACAUAUCCCUAGGUGAGCUGAAGCCUGACACAAGCUGCUGUGCUUUGGGGUUUUUUUUUGGUGUGGUCCCAAGUUUCAGCUGGUUCAAGGCUGGAGGAGCUGUGAGCAGGGGGAGGAUUUGAAUUCACAGCCUCUCUUUUAAAUAGAUUGGUGGUUCCAGGAGAGCAAGUGAUACUGCUGCAGUGAUUAAAUUCUUUGCUGGGUUGAUGCCUCUGGAAGUGUUUGGAGAGAUUUGACAGAUCUUUCAGUCUGUUGAAGGUUCCCAUGGUGUUGGCCCAGCCAUGACUGUGUGAGGCAAACUGUUUGUGUCACCCCUGGGAGAAGGCAUCUUUCUCAUUCACAGAACAAAGAGCUCUUGGGCAUUCAAAGACAAAAGGUACCAACUGACAUUUAGUUCUGCUACUAAUUAUAUGUCAAAAACUGAUACAAGUUAAGACUAAAUUAGUGCACUUCUCCAGAUGUUUUCACAGUUGCCCUGCCUGCAGCAGGGGGUUAUGUUCUGAGUUGUUAGGUACUCAAACUGGUCCUUCUCAUCUCCACUGAUGUGGUUGCUCCUGGCAUGAUCAGGUGCAAACUCCCACUUAUUAAGUGCUAUGAAGGAAUCAUUCUGACACAAAGUGGAAAAUUCUCCUUGGGGUUCAGAGCUCUUGCAAGAGGCAGCCAGUGAGGUGGCUGCUUGUAGAGCUGACCCCAUGCUUCAAGAUGUGGCUUCAUAUACAAUAUCUGUGAAAGCAGCUAUUCUUGCUCUUGCCAAACUCCUCAGAAGACCCAUAAAAUGAUGUUAAUUGUAAGCCACAAGCUGGCUCUUAUCUUUGAAUUGUUUUUCUCUGACAAUUUUAAGAAGAGCUCAGCAUGUUCUCAGUAGGAGCUGAUGGAUGCUGAGCACUUCUGAAAUCCUGCCAACUUCAUUUAGGUUCCUAAAUGGGAACUGAGUGCUUUUGAACAUAUGAUCCUAAGGGUGCAUUUCAUAACACUAUAGCUCUGUCCAUAUCAUUUCUUUCCUCUCUCACUGUCCCCAGAAUGCUCCCAGCAGCAGCAAUAACACCAGGAGCACUGGGCUAGUCAAGGCUUGAGUGAUGCCUCAGUCAUGAUGUCAGCUCAAGCCACACUGAACAGAAUUAAAUGACAGCAGUUAAAAGGUGCCUGUCUGCAUCCAGUCUGCAGUAAGGUCACCAUCAUCACUACCAGCAUUAUGGGUAUGUUUGAGAUAGCUGUGGUAGAUUUUUUAUGGAUGUAUAUGAAAACAAAAAUCUAGUGCAAAUUCUGCCUUGUAUUUCAGAGUAUUUCAUCCCAUGUUUCAGGCCAUGUGCACUCUACUCGACAAUGCUCUGACUCUCAAUUUCAGGAUUCAAAUUUUCUCCUAAGUAGGUUCUUGGGGCAGAUAUAAUGAAUAUUUUUUAGUGUUUGAGAAGCAGAGUAGGAGGGCAGACGAGCCUUUAUCUGAAGCUUUUCCAACAGAAUUAGUGCAUGGACAGCAUCUGUUUUGGUCCUGUGAGGCUGACAUCCUCUCCCAGCAGACUUGGCAGGGAGCAGAAGAACCACAUGUCAAAAAAUCUGGGGGGCCCAUGCGCUGUGGACAAAAGUAUGGCAAAGAAUUUAAACAUCAGUGAGUGGAGUGAUGCUGGAGGGCUGGCUGAAAGCGAUUAGCACAGUGCUCUGGAAUGCGGCGUUUCAAUAGCGGCUCCAGAAGGAUCUGCAGCCCCAUUGACUUCUGCAGCGUCAGGAAAGAGCCCUCACACUCCAGCUUUUUGCCAGUGUGAAUGGGAACGUGCAGGGCUGUGUGUGCAGCAAUCACAGAGCUCCCUGCUCUGGUUCUGCACACCCUGCCCCGUGUCCUGCUGAUGGGGGGUUUCCUUUGCUCCACGGGAACCUGAUGCCCCAGUGACUCAGGUGGCUCUGGGUCCUCGUGCAUUGCCAGAACCCCCCCUUGUCAAAUCUGCAUCAAUAUCAGCUGUAGCUUUGCUGUUUGCCCACCCUGGGCCAAAGGCACCAAAGGCCACCUGUGGCCACGAUCCAGCUGUUGUCAGCUGUGCAGUUGGGUGGUGUGGGGCUUGGGUGUUUUGUUGCCACGUGUGUCAGUGUGGGGCUUGGGUGUUUUGUUUCCACUGCUGCUGGGUUUUGGCCUCUUUGGGAGUGCACCAAGUGGGACUAAGCUUGUGUCUUUGGUCACAUUCACUUGUUUAAUUUUUUUCUUUAUGUUUUCCUUCCCCCUCCCUUCUGAUUUCUAGGUAGAUAAUCAAAGUGUGAAAUAAAUUAAAAAUAAAGCUGGGUAGAAGGCCUGGCUGAUGAGAGCACAUACAUUUUUAGUUGAGGUGGGAGAAGAACGUGCUCAUUCAAGCCCUCAUGGAGGGCAGGGAAUUCCCUGGCUUUUGUCUAAAUAUGGCAUGCGAGAGCGGAGCACAGGCAGUGCAAUGCUUCACUGAGUAUUGUUUAAAAGGGAGCUUGGCAGUGGCCAGCAAGUAGGAUUCUUGUGAAAACAUGGCACAAGGAGUUGUUUGACAGAUUCUGACAUAGCAAAGUCUUUACAAGGGGCAAAAAAAAAA